This 252-nucleotide ribosomal RNA is filed under the name uncultured bacterium. RNAcentral's name for it is "partial 16S ribosomal RNA". It matches the Rfam family "Bacterial small subunit ribosomal RNA", at positions 524 to 776 of the family's 1533-position model. The record is from RNAcentral.
UACGGAGGAUGCGAGCGUUAUCCGGAUUUAUUGGGUUUAAAGGGUGCGCAGGCGGAUUUUUAAGUCAGCGGUCAAAUCGUGGGGCUCAACCCCAUCCAGCCGUUGAAACUGGGGAUCUAGAGUGUGCGAGAGGUAUGCGGAAUGCGUGGUGUAGCGGUGAAAUGCAUAGAUAUUACGCAGAACCCCGAUUGCGAAGGCAGCAUACCGGUGCACAACUGACGCUCAGGCACGAAAGCGUGGGUAUCGAACAGG